GGCAAGAAUACUGGAGUGGAUUGCCAUUUCCUUCACCAGGGGAUCUUUCCCACCCAGGGAUCGAACCUACGUCUCCUGUAUUAGCAGGCAGGUUCUUUACCACCGAGCCACCAGGGAAGCCAUAGGGAGGGCUUGGCUCACUACUAACAGGGUUUGGCCACUCCUCUGUACCAGGCUCACACUAGGUGCUGCAGAGGCAAAGAUGGAGUAUGAAGGGCUCGUAUAACGGCGGAGACAGGCCUGCAAAUGCCUAAGAUCCACAAACCAUGGUUUCCAUGCUUUGGCUGCUGUAUAUGCAGCUGGGGCAGAGGUGAACCAUGCUGAGCAGGAAAGGGGUAAGAAGGCACUAGAAGACUGUUUCCCAGUCUCUGUGUAGUCAAGUGAGGUCAUCAAACUAGUUUUGGCCGAUGGAUUACACUGGAAGUAAUGUAUGUCACUUCCAAAAUCAAGCUGGAACAGCAAGCGGAUGGGUAAGGCGAC
Long non-coding RNA from Bos taurus (domestic cattle), 480 nucleotides. Lineage: Eukaryota; Metazoa; Chordata; Mammalia; Artiodactyla; Bovidae. The record is from Ensembl.